GCAUCCGUAACUCCAGCUGGACAGAGUACUCGGCUACGAACCGAGCGGUCGGAGGUUCGAAUCCUCCCGGAUGCACCA
This 78-nucleotide transfer RNA is filed under the name Salmonella enterica subsp. enterica. RNAcentral's name for it is "tRNA-Arg". It matches the Rfam family "tRNA". Rfam says of the family: Transfer RNA (tRNA) molecules are approximately 80 nucleotides in length. Lineage: Bacteria; Pseudomonadati; Pseudomonadota; Gammaproteobacteria; Enterobacterales; Enterobacteriaceae. The record is from RNAcentral.